Molecule: long non-coding RNA, 3127 nt
Filed under: Homo sapiens (human)
Lineage: Eukaryota; Metazoa; Chordata; Mammalia; Primates; Hominidae
Description: HSALNT0407090
Source: RNAcentral
CUGUCUCAAAAAAAAAAAAAAAAAAAGAAAAAAAAAGUAUACACUGAUAAGAAUUCUUCAAAUUGAAGAUUAUGUUCUUAUGUCUACCCAGUCUUUCCUUUUUCCUUUCCUUCGGACUCCAACUAGAACAGCAAGGAGCAGAGACAAAGACAAACUAGUCCUUAAAAUGCUGUUAUGGAGACAAAAUGACACCAAACAAGUCCACUCUGUGAAUUGGUUAUGCUGUAAAUUAAUCUUUGUCUAAAUGGCCUUUGACAAACCGACUGACUCCUAGCUGACCUCCUUAGACAUACCCAGUAUCCCAAGUGAAGCUGUUUCAUCGUUUUUUGUUUGUUUGUUUUAAAGACAGGAGGUCUUUCUGUGUUGCCCAGGAUGGACUCCAAUUUCCUGGCUCAAGCGAUCCUCCUGCCUCCGCCUCCCAAGUAGCUGGGACUACAGGUGCUUGCCUGGCUUGCUUCACCAUUUUCAGUAAGAACGAUCAUGAUGCUGCUCACUGAAGUCAGCAGACUUCCUUUGUGGGGUUAAUGACUGCAGUGUGUUUUGAGGAAAAACAAAACAAAACAAAAAAAAACUACUCCAAUAUUUUGAGGAAAUACUUCUUUAAAUACUGGCCUCUGCCCUGACACUCCUUGCCUCCUAAUAUUGGCACCACCUCUGUUUCCUUACAAUAGAGUCUCAGAACAUGGGAUCAAUCUUAGACCCAAAGGAGGAUGCUUCUCAGAAACACUCUCUGUCCUGCCGUACGUCUGUCUAAACUCCUCUAGCAAUUCCGAUGUGAAAAGAAGAUGGAUGGAGAAGCACUGAUUCAGCCAUGGCUGACAUGUCGGAGUUGGAAUGGACAGUGCCCGGACCUCACAGUCUCAGAGAACUGGAGAAGAGUAAAGCUGAAGAGGGCAUCAUCUGGUUACAAAUGACAAGUCCAGGGCUCCAGCUUCUUCGGCUCCUUGGCCAUGUGUGUACUUUAUGAUGAAGCGCCCAGCUUCUGCAGGAUAUCCAUACUGCCAAGGUCAAAAGCAACAAUAAGCGACGUGGGGCUCAGUCUGUUCUCGUGGGCUACAAUGCAUGCUUCUGGUUUCCAGGUUGUUCUUGCUCUCCCUUAUUUUACAUUUAUCCUUCCUUCCCAACUGCCUGUCCGAUAGAUGUCGAGUCCCAACAUCAGAUGUGAAGAUGAGAGCUUUAUAGAGACUGCUUAACCAGCUCCCACAGUUGUAUUAGGACAAAUCCCUGUAGCAAAUCCCUUUGUGUGUGUGUGUGUGUGUGUGUGUGUGUGUAUGUGUGUGUGUGUGCGCGCGCACGCGCGUGCACGCACCUUAGUGGUUCUCCUGUGAUUGAAUCCUGACUUACACAGUUUGAGAUAGAAACCUUCUGAAGCAAUUAGAUUAAAUGGUCUAUAACUGUGCUGUCCAACAUGGUAGCCAUUAGCUACAUGUGGCUAUUUAAAUUUAAAUUAAUUAAAGUUAAACAUAAUUAGAAUUUAGUACCCCAGUCAAGUUUCAAGUGCUCAAUACUGUGGUCACAUGUGGCUGGUGGCCACUGUUUUGGGCAGCACAGAUAUAGAGCACUUCCGUUAUUGCAAAAAAAUGUUCUAUGAGCACUGGUCUAUAGUGAUAAUUACUAGUAUUUACUGAGUUCUCACCAUGUGUCAGAUGCAGAUUCCAAGUUUGCUCUGGAGAGCACGAUGCGGCAGGCAAACGGGGAAAGAGAGAGAGUGAUGGGAAUCAGGUGGGAGAUUUUUUUUUUUUUUUUUGAGAUGGAGUCUCUCUCACUCUGUCACCCAGGCUGGAGUGCAGUGGCACAAUAUCGGAUCACUGCAACCUCCGCCUCCCAGGUUCAAGUGAUUCUCCUGCCUCAGUCUCCCAAGUAGCCAGGAUUACAGACUUGUACCACCACGCCUGGCUAAGUUUUGUAUUUUUAGUAGAGACAGGGUUUCACCAUGUUGGCCAGGCUGGUCUCGAACCCCUGACCUCAGGUGAUCCACCCUCCUUGACCUUCCAAAGUGCUGAGAUUACAGGUGUGAGCCAUUGCACCUGGCCAGGUGGGAGAUUUUUAAUGACCAGGCCUGGAGGUGGCACACAUCACUUAUACCCACAUCCAUUGGCCAGCACUCAGUUACACGGCCACUUCUAACUACAAGGGAGGUUGGGAAAUGUAGCCUAGCUGUGUGCUGAGGAAGAAAAAGUAAAAGCUUUGGUGCCAGCCAGUCUCUGCCACAUCAGAUUUAAUUUGAGCGCUGUGAAGUAAUUAAUGCCCAUUAAACUAAGGGUGGGACAAGAUUAAUGCUAAAAUCACUCUCCCCAGCCACCAUUUUCUCUCUUGUUCUUUGUCAUGAUAUUGACAAGGUCAAAAGUCAGGCAGUCAGCAUGAACCCGAGGAGGAGAAGUCCUUGCCACUUUGAGGCUGAAUAUGAACAGCCCCUUCUUUAUGACUCACCCUAUCAGCUUUGCUCCUAGCGAAUGUUCAUAUCGUGGUUCUCCGGGACCCUUGAAAGUGGGACUCCUAUGUGAGGAACUAGUUCUAUAAACAACUACAUGCUAGUAAAAAACCAUUAAGAGGGUUGGAAUUAGGCAUAGUCCUGCUGCAUAGAAAUCCUACUUAGUUGGAAAAAUUGUAUUUUUAAGUUGCCUCUGUUUUGAAGCCACGUUAACCCUUAACCUUCAGAAAAUCCUUAGCCAGCCUUUAUACAUUGGUAGCUCCUGUUCUAAUAAUGUCUUCUCCUCCUAUUUUCUUUGGCUUGUCAUGAGCUUUGAAAGUUUGAUCUGAGAUCCCUCACUUUUAAUAAUCUGUAACUCUGAUUUGGUAAUCUCCUACAUAUGAAUAAAAUGUCUGUGUUCAUUUAUUUCUAAUGAAUAAAUGAACAUGCCUGCUGAGCCAAGCCUUAAAUGUGAUUAAGGAGACUGACUUGGGUUCAGAUCCUGGCUCUGCCUUGAGUAAGUUUCUAACAUUCCUCUGCUUGUAUUUCCUUAUCUGUAAAAUGGGAGUGAUUUCUUUGAAUGAAAUUAUAUUACAUUUAUCAAGCAUUUUAUCACAGUUUCAACAAUAAGGUGUAAUUAUUAUUAAUUCAGACUAUAUGAUUCUGUGCCCUUGGAUAAAGUUUACCAUUAUAUAAUAAACUACUUUUCUCACUUAA